This 84-nucleotide microRNA precursor is filed under the name Bombyx mori (domestic silkworm). Its description in RNAcentral is "mir-2807 microRNA precursor family". It matches the Rfam family "mir-2807 microRNA precursor family". The record is from Rfam by way of RNAcentral. Lineage: Eukaryota; Metazoa; Arthropoda; Insecta; Lepidoptera; Bombycidae.
UUAACUCAUAUUUGUAUGGAAUGGGAUCGUUUGCGUACGUCUACCGCUAGGGGCGCUGUUCCAACUGCAUACAAACUUGAGUUA